UCCCUGGUGGCUCAGAAGUAAAGAAUCUGCCUGCUAUGCAGGAGACCCAGGUUCAAUCCCUGGAUCGGGAA
Molecule: transfer RNA, 71 nt
Filed under: Bos taurus (domestic cattle)
Lineage: Eukaryota; Metazoa; Chordata; Mammalia; Artiodactyla; Bovidae
Also listed under: 5 other names
Rfam family: tRNA
About the family: Transfer RNA (tRNA) molecules are approximately 80 nucleotides in length. Their secondary structure includes four short double-helical elements and three loops (D, anti-codon, and T loops).
Source: Rfam by way of RNAcentral